This 48-nucleotide transfer RNA is filed under the name Trioceros ellioti. RNAcentral's name for it is "tRNA-Ala". Lineage: Eukaryota; Metazoa; Chordata; Lepidosauria; Squamata; Chamaeleonidae. The record is from RNAcentral.
CAACAUCUCCUGAAUGCAACUCAGAUACUUUAAUUAAGCUAAAACUUC